GGUCAAAGGAAUAAGGGCUGACGGUGGAUACCUAGGCACGCAGAGGCGAAGAAGGACGUGGUUACCUACGAAAAGUUCCGGGGAGUUGGAAGCAAGCGUUGAGCCGGAAAUGUCCGAAUGGGGCAACCCAGAAUACUGCCACCUGAAUAUAUAGGGUGGAAAGAGCGAACCUAGCGAACUGAAACAUCUUAGUAGCUAGAGGAAAAGAAAUCAAAAGAGAUUCCCAAAGUAGUGGUGAGCGAAAUGGGAAGAGCCUAAACCAGAAUGCUUGCAUUGUGGGGUAGUGGGACAACGAGAUGGAAUCGGAAGGUUAGACGAAGCAUUGAAAAGAUGCACCAGAGAAAGUGAGAGUCUUGUAGUCGAAAGCUGAAAGAUACUAGUUGAAUCCCGAGUAGCAUGGAGCACGAGAAAUUCCAUGUGAAUCAGCGAGGACCACCUCGUAAGGCUAAAUACUACUGCGUGACCGAUAGAGAACAAGUACCGCGAGGGAAAGGUGAAAAGAACCCCGGGAGGGGAGUGAAAAAGAACAUGAAACCGUCAGCUUACAAGCAGUGGGAGUCUGAUUAAACGGAUGACCGCGUGCCUGUUGAAGAAUGAGCCGGCGACUUAUAGGUACUGGUGGAUUAAGCUAUUAAGUAGCGAAGUCAAAGGGAAACCGAGUCUGAGAAGGGCGUUAAUCAGUAUUUAUAGACCCGAACCCUGGCGAUCUAACCAUGUCCAGGAUGAAGCUUGGGUAACACCAAGUGGAGGUCCGCACCGACUGAUGUUGAAAAAUCAGCGGAUGAGGUGUGGUUAGGGGUGAAAUGCCAAUCGAGCCAGGAGCUAGCUGGUUCUCCCCGAAAUGUGUUUAGGCGCAGCGGUUACGAAUAUAGCUUGGGGGUAAAGCACUGUUUCGGUGCGGGCUGGGAGACCGGUACCAAAUCGAGACAAACUCAGAAUACCAAGUGAACAUGUAGCCAGUAAGACGGUGGGGGAUAAGCUUCAUCGUCAAGAGGGAAACAGCCCAGACCGCCAGCUAAGGUCCCCAAAUCAACGUUAAGUGGCAAAGGAGGUGGGAGUGCACAGACAACCAGGAGGUUUGCCUAGAAGCAGCCACCCUUGAAAGAGUGCGUAAUAGCUCACUGGUCAAGCGCUCCUGCGCCGAAAAUGAAUGGGACUAAACGUUGUACCGAAGCUGCGGACUUGUAUUUAGGUAUAAGUGGUAGGGGAGCGUUCUAUAAGAAGAGAAGCAUUAGCGGCAAGCAGGUGUGGAUUUUAUAGAAGUGAGAAUGUCGGCUUGAGUAGCGCAAAUAUUGGUGAGAAUCCAAUACCCCGAAACCCCAAGGGUUCCAGAGGCAGGUUCGUCCACUCUGGGUUAGUCGGGUCCUAAGGCGAGGGCGAACGCCGUAGUCGAUGGACAACGGGUGAAUAAUCCCGUACUAAUUUAUGUUUGUGCAGAGGGACGGAGAAGGUGAAUGUCAGCCGGAUGUUGGUUACCGGUUUAAGUGUCAAGGUGUUGAGAGACGGAGAAAACGUCUUGAGUUGAGGCAUGAGUACGACCUGCUACGGCGGGGAAGUGGCAUAAUCUAGCUUCCAAGAAAAGCUCGGUGGCACGUUAAGCAUAAAUUACCCGUACCCGAAACCGACACAGGUGGGGAGGUUGAGUAAACUAAGGGGCGCGAGAUAACUCUCUCUAAGGAACUCGGCAAAAUGGCCCCGUAACUUCGGAAGAAGGGGUGCCCAUAGCAAUAUGGGUCGCAGUGAAGAGAUCCAGGCGACUGUUUACCAAAAACACAGGUCUCCGCGAAGUGUAAUCACGAAGUAUGGGGGCUGACGCCUGCCCAGUGCCGGAAGGUUAAGGAAGUUGGUCAGGGUAGAAAUAUUUGAAGCUGACGACUGAAGCCCCGGUGAACGGCGGCCGUAACUAUAACGGUCCUAAGGUAGCGAAAUUCCUUGUCGGGUAAGUUCCGACCCGCACGAAAGGCGUAACGAUCUGGAUGGUGUCUCGGAGAGAGACUCGGCGAAAUAGGAUUGUCUGUGAAGAUACGGACUACCUGCACCUGGACAGAAAGACCCUAUGAAGCUUUACUGUAUCCUGGAAUUGGGUCCGGGCUUGGCUUGCGCAGGAUAGGUGGGAAGCGUAGAGUAUAUCCUUGUGGGGAUAUAGGAGCUAACGGUGAGAUACCACUCUGGCGAAGCUAGGAUUCUAACUGAUGACCAUAAUCUGGUCAGAGGACAUUUUCAGGUGGGCAGUUUGACUGGGGCGGUCGCCUCCCAAAAGGUAACGGAGGCGCGCAAUGGUUCCCUCAGCACGGUUGGAAAUCGUGCGGCGAGUGUAAAGGCAAUAAGGGAGCUUGACUGCAAGAGAUACAUCUCGAGCAGGUACGAAAGUAGGUCUUAGUGAUCCGACGGCGCAGAGUGGAAUGGCCGUCGCUCAACGGAUAAAAGUUACUCUAGGGAUAACAGGCUGAUCUCCCCCAAGAGUCCACAUCGACGGGGAGGUUUGGCACCUCGAUGUCGGCUCAUCGCAACCUGGGGCGGAAGUACGUCCCAAGGGUUGGGCUGUUCGCCCAUUAAAGCGGUACGUGAGCUGGGUUCAGAACGUCGUGAGACAGUUCGGUCCAUAUCCGGUGCAGGCGUUAGAAUAUUGAGAGGAGCCUUCCUUAGUACGAGAGGACCGGGAAGGACGCACCGCUGGUGUACCAGUUAUCGUGCCAACGGUAAACGCUGGGUAGCUAUGUGCGGAGUGGAUAACCGCUGAAAGCAUCUAAGUGGGAAGCCCACCUCAAGAUGAGUAUUCUUUUUACUUUAAGUAAGUAAGGUCACGGGAAGAACACCCGUUGAUAGGCUCGAAGUCGAAGUUCAGUAAUGGAUGUAGCUCACGAGUACUAAUAGACCGAGGCUUUGACCUU
Molecule: ribosomal RNA, 2891 nt
Organism: Calothrix sp. PCC 6303
Lineage: Bacteria; Bacillati; Cyanobacteriota; Cyanophyceae; Nostocales; Calotrichaceae
Rfam family: Bacterial large subunit ribosomal RNA
Source: Rfam